Hemibagrus wyckioides is the source of this 1450-nucleotide long non-coding RNA. RefSeq lists it as uncharacterized. NCBI's taxonomy places the organism in Eukaryota, Metazoa, Chordata, Actinopteri, Siluriformes, Bagridae. The record is from RefSeq and is a predicted model, not a curated record. The transcript has 3 exons.
ACUCGUAAACUCUUAUUUGUGAGAAGCAUAUUCAUAUUCUGUAAAAACAAAAUAUGCUAGUAAAAUGUUUUUGCCCUGAGACUUUACGGUAUUUUUCUUUUAUGUCAUCAAAAACAUUGAUCAUUUGACACAAAAACAGAGCAGAACAGAAACGAGAACCAUGAAGUGCAGAACAGAGAGGAGAUGAACAGUACAACACAACAAGGAAGAUGUUUCAGCGUUAUUUUGGUAAUGUGCCUUUAAGCAAGUCAGGGCUGUUCUGCUGCUCAGGAAACGAAACCGAAACCAACAUCUCCAACAAAGGAAAAGCCAGAAACUCCAGAUCAUUACACUGAGCGAGAUCCGACGACUGGACUUCUCAACGAGACCGUCUGCGCUCUACACCAUGUCUACAGCCUCACUAGUGUUUGAUGUCCAUCCUGACACAGAUGGCAUUCUGUCGGUCAAAAAAAGAGCUGGAGAACAAGGCAUGCAAGGACAACGUCCUCCUCCUCAACCUGGAUUUCUCCGAGAGAGUCUUCAGGCACAACCCUUUACACCGUGUCAUUAGAGGACCAACAACCUCGCAUCGACUGCUGCAUUCGCAGCUUUUACAGCGAGAUCAUAAGCGAAGAUAUUAAGAGCAUCCACUUCAGCAUGCACUCCUGCCAGAACCAGAGCAGAUCCUGUUUCGCAGCAGCCAAAGAUGCGGUGAGGUCCAAACAUCAGGCACCAAAAAUCACAUGCAACAAGUUUUCCAUCAUCUACACCACUGAUGGCGUUCCUGAUGAGAUCAGCAUGAUCGAAACCAAGUGCCACUUUAAGCUGCGCAUGAUGACGGCUGAGGCGCUGCUGGAAAGGAAGUGCUAGAUAGAGAAAGAGAAAACAAAUUGUACCGAGUUGAUCGCUUGCCUCAAUUAUCUGAUCGAGAAAUACCUGACCAUACCCGAGGCUCCGAGAUCUAACUGCAGGUUCAUUUUACAGGGGAAUAAAGAAAUGGCUGAAAUUAUUUAGACGCUGUAGGCAAUGAGCCGAUGAAACAGUAUGUGAUAAUGUGGGUGAGGUACUCACAAGUCUGCAGCUAUCCGCCUCUAGAGUGAAGAUGAAGCCCCCAAACACGCACCAGCGAACUUCUCAAACAUCAUGCAGAUCUCCAUCAGCUCUUCUCUGGAGCAUCAUCUCUAUCGAGAUUACAUAAAUUACAUAAAACCAGCCACAGAGAGUCGAGUCAUUCACAUGUAAAUAAAACAAAAGGUAGAGCUAAUAAAUAUCAACGUUAACAUUAUUACAGUUAAAUAAGAUUUUGUUUUUUCGAAGCUUUUACAUCAAAUAUAUCUCUCUACAUAUUUUUUGUAUAAAACUGGUGUUUGAAACUUCUUUUACAAUGUAAACUAUGUUCCUUUAUAAACUUUAACGGACUGCAUGUUGUUGAUGAUAUAAAUAUCUUACUACAUACAAUAAUAAACUUCAC